Molecule: long non-coding RNA, 249 nt
Organism: Camelus dromedarius (Arabian camel)
Lineage: Eukaryota; Metazoa; Chordata; Mammalia; Artiodactyla; Camelidae
Exons: 3
Source: RefSeq, a predicted model, not a curated record
CCGGCGUCCUCGCAGUACGGGUAGCUCCCGGGGAUGCUGCCGCCAGUGUCCCGGCCCCAGGGUGAGCCUCGGCUGAAGCCCCCGCCUCUCCGGGAGUCUCUCCAAGACCGGCAGGUUUCAUACUUGCUGGGAAACCUUUACAUCCGCCCUCAAUAUCAGCAGUCAAGAUCAGGAGCACCAUGAAAAACACCCUGAUAAACUGCUGUUGAAAAUGGACACAUCUUAAAGGUUUGGAUGUACAAAACCCCU